GACGAACGCUGGCGGCGUGCUUAACACAUGCAAGUCGAACGGAAAGGCCCUGCUUUUGUGGGGUGCUCGAGUGGCGAACGGGUGAGUAACACGUGAGUAACCUGCCCUUGACUUUGGGAUAACUUCAGGAAACUGGGGCUAAUACCGGAUAGGAGCUCCUGCCGCAUGGUGGGGGUUGGAAAGUUUCGGCGGUUGGGGAUGGACUCGCGGCUUAUCAGCUUGUUGGUGGGGUAGUGGCUUACCAAGGCUUUGACGGGUAGCCGGCCUGAGAGGGUGACCGGCCACAUUGGGACUGAGAUACGGCCCAGACUCCUACGGGAGGCAGCAGUGGGGAAUAUUGCACAAUGGGCGGAAGCCUGAUGCAGCAACGCCGCGUGCGGGAUGACGGCCUUCGGGUUGUAAACCGCUUUCGCCUGUGACGAAGCGUGAGUGACGGUAAUGGGUAAAGAAGCACCGGCUAACUACGUGCCAGCAGCCGCGGUGAUACGUAGGGUGCGAGCGUUGUCCGGAUUUAUUGGGCGUAAAGGGCUCGUAGGUGGUUGAUCGCGUCGGAAGUGUAAUCUUGGGGCUUAACCCUGAGCGUGCUUUCGAUACGGGUUGACUUGAGGAAGGUAGGGGAGAAUGGAAUUCCUGGUGGAGCGGUGGAAUGCGCAGAUAUCAGGAGGAACACCAGUGGCGAAGGCGGUUCUCUGGGCCUUUCCUGACGCUGAGGAGCGAAAGCGUGGGGAGCGAACAGGCUUAGAUACCCUGGUAGUCCACGCUGUAAACGGUGGGUACUAGGUGUGGGGUCCAUUCCACGGGUUCCGUGCCGUAGCUAACGCUUUAAGUACCCCGCCUGGGGAGUACGGCCGCAAGGCUAAAACUCAAAGGAAUUGACGGGGCCCCGCACAAGCGGCGGAGCAUGCGGAUUAAUUCGAUGCAACGCGUAGAACCUUACCUGGGUUUGACAUGGAUCGGGAGUGCUCAGAGAUGGGUGUGCCUCUUUUGGGGUCGGUUCACAGGUGGUGCAUGGCUGUCGUCAGCUCGUGUCGUGAGAUGUUGGGUUAAGUCCCGCAACGAGCGCAACCCUUGUUCACUGUUGCCAGCACGUUAUGGUGGGGACUCAGUGGAGACCGCCGGGGUCAUCUCGGAGGAAGGUGGGGAUGACGUCAAGUCAUCAUGCCCCUUAUGUCCAGGGCUUCACGCAUGCUACAAUGGCUGGUACAGAGAGUGGCGAGCCUGUGAGGGUGAGCGAAUCUCGGAAAGCCGGUCUCAGUUCGGAUUGGGGUCUGCAACUCGACCUCAUGAAGUCGGAGUCGCUAGUAAUCGCAGAUCAGCAACGCUGCGGUGAAUACGUUCCCGGGGCU
This 1346-nucleotide ribosomal RNA is filed under the name uncultured bacterium. Its description in RNAcentral is "partial 16S ribosomal RNA". It matches the Rfam family "Bacterial small subunit ribosomal RNA", at positions 28 to 1381 of the family's 1533-position model. The record is from RNAcentral.